CACACACACAGCUUCACAUUGAGUCUGAACAAACUGUUCCCAGAGAAGACCAGCUUAUGAGAAGAGAGAAAUAAGGGUUCCAGGAUGACUUUGACCGUGGAAAGUCUUACUUGCAUCAUUGGGAUCAAAGGGAUCAAAAUUGUAAUAUUAGGCUUGACUUUAACCUCCACCCCUGCCCUAAUAGGAGUUGCGGCAUUGGUAGUAGUGGGAGUUGUCGUAUACAAAAUGGUGGGAAAAGAAAAGCCAAAAAGGACCUGAUCAUAGAGGAUAAUUUAGUCCUCUAUAUUUACCUGUGAAAAUAUAAAUGGAUGCUUGACAAUAAAAACAAAGAUGGCAGACUAUCUUUAUCUGACUAAAUAGCUGCAAUAACUGCAUUUUGAACACACCCUUUGGUCUAUUGUUACAUGCAAACUUGAGUUAGUGCUGCCCUGGGAAAGUACCAUCCAUCCAGAAGGUUCAAAACACUACUUCUCUUUAGUAUAGGAAACACUUUGAACUAUCUUGUUAAAAACUGACUCAAUCUGAUUGAGCGCUCUCUGGCAUGGUGUUUAGAAGUGACAGAUAGUUAAAAAAAGAAAAAAAGGUACCAAAGCUUACUAUUCCCAUAGUAUACAUAUAUACUGUAUUGCCACUGUGGUCAGUCUUCUCUGUGUAGUCACAUAUUUGGGGAAAUCAUGGUUUCAAUGUCGUUUUUUUACAUAACGUUUUUGACUUCAGUCAAGUUGUUUAAUCAAAACUGUUUUAGUGGAAAAGCUAAAAGGCUUUCGUUUUAUUGUCUGUAAACUUUAAAAAAAAAAAAUGUUUUACUGCGUAUCAUCAUUUAUUGGAUUAAGGCAGAUUUAAGACUGUAAUUCUAAAAUGAAUGGGUACAAGAAAUACCCAUCAAUUGCUUUUAUACUGAUAACUUACCGUGAGUGGAAUGAAUUCGUCAAAACAAAUGUCAUCUCACCGGAGCCAAGCAACAACUGCUGAAACAAACAAAAGCAUUUACUCAAGAGGAGGAAUGUAAUCCAACAGGAAGUCCAGAAGAAUGCAAUCCUGUCUAUAAUUAUGUCUGCUACUCUAUGGCUAUGCUGUAGUGAAUAAAUCGGGAAAAUGCCUGUUUCUGCUCUGAAA
Notothenia coriiceps (black rockcod) is the source of this 1116-nucleotide long non-coding RNA. RefSeq lists it as uncharacterized. NCBI's taxonomy places the organism in Eukaryota, Metazoa, Chordata, Actinopteri, Perciformes, Nototheniidae. The transcript has 3 exons. The record is from RefSeq and is a predicted model, not a curated record.